UCAGCACAGAACGGGCACCCAGUGAGCAC
RNAcentral lists this non-coding RNA (29 nucleotides) under Macaca fascicularis (crab-eating macaque). RNAcentral also lists the same sequence under 1 other name. The record is from RNAcentral. Lineage: Eukaryota; Metazoa; Chordata; Mammalia; Primates; Cercopithecidae.